CCUACGGGCGGCAGCAGUGGGGAAUAUUGGACAAUGGGGGCAACCCUGAUCCAGCCAUGCCGCGUGUGUGAAGAAGGCCCUCGGGUUGUAAAGCACUUUCAGUGAGGAAGAACGCCUGGUGGUUAAUACCCAUCAGGAAAGACAUCACUCACAGAAGAAGCACCGGCUAACUCCGUGCCAGCAGCCGCGGUAAUACGGAGGGUGCGAGCGUUAAUCGGAAUUACUGGGCGUAAAGCGCGCGUAGGUGGCUUGAUAAGCCGGUUGUGAAAGCCCCGGGCUCAACCUGGGAACGGCAUCCGGAACUGUCAAGCUAGAGCGCAGGAGAGGAAGGUAGAAUUCCCGGUGUAGCGGUGAAAUGCGUAGAGAUCGGGAGGAAUACCAGUGGCGAAGGCGGCCUUCUGGACUGACACUGACACUGAGGUGCGAAAGCGUGGGUAGCAAACAGGAUUAGAUACCCUAGUAGUC
This 465-nucleotide ribosomal RNA is filed under the name Vreelandella stevensii. RNAcentral's name for it is "partial 16S ribosomal RNA". It matches the Rfam family "Bacterial small subunit ribosomal RNA", at positions 338 to 795 of the family's 1533-position model. Lineage: Bacteria; Pseudomonadati; Pseudomonadota; Gammaproteobacteria; Oceanospirillales; Halomonadaceae. The record is from RNAcentral.